GCUGCAUGUCCGGGCGGUGAGGAAGGCGCCUUGAAAGCGUUUGAUCGGUAACGAUUUGCAGGUUCGAAUCCUGUGUGCAGCGCCA
Molecule: transfer RNA, 85 nt
Filed under: Lachnospiraceae bacterium
Lineage: Bacteria; Bacillati; Bacillota; Clostridia; Lachnospirales; Lachnospiraceae
Description: tRNA-Ser
Rfam family: tRNA
About the family: Transfer RNA (tRNA) molecules are approximately 80 nucleotides in length. Their secondary structure includes four short double-helical elements and three loops (D, anti-codon, and T loops).
Source: RNAcentral